This 420-nucleotide long non-coding RNA is filed under the name Manihot esculenta (cassava). RNAcentral describes it as "long non-coding RNA (MESC_LNC006694)". Lineage: Eukaryota; Viridiplantae; Streptophyta; Magnoliopsida; Malpighiales; Euphorbiaceae. The record is from RNAcentral.
GACGUGCUGCUCCCGCCGCCAGCCAAGCUUGCCUAAAACAACGCAACAUUUGCUCUUUAACGGCUUGCAAUCCGACGCCAGUGUGCUCGUCGACGGCUCGCGAGAGGAAGACACGGUCUUCACCGAAUCGCACAAUCCGCUCAACCCCGCGCUACGUCAUGCUGAACCAGCUUCCGCCAACAGCCCGCGAUUGCCGACAGCGCCCGACCAACCUCACCAACGACGGGGACGCGACGGUAGAAGUCGCGUCCCAAGCCGUCGGACAUGGCGAUCGGGCCAUGCGAUCCCGUUCAUCGGGAUUUCGGGGUUCGCGAUGAACGUCAACCCAGGCCACAGGUUCCAAAAGUUCUUCCUUUAUUUAAUUUAUUUUAAUAAACAAUUAAAAUUAAAAACCCGCAAUUUUUCAGAAUGAAAAUUCAC